AACGUACGCUGGCGGCACGCCUAACACAUGCAAGUCGAACGAAGUAGCAAUACUUAGUGGCAGACGGGUGAGUAACAUGUGGGUAUCUGCCCUUUGGCCUGGAAUAACACGAGGAAACUUGUGCUAAUACCGGAUAAGUCUUUACGGAGAAAGCUUUAUGCACCAUUGGAUGAGCCCGCACUUGAUUAGUUUGUUGGUGGGGUAAUGGCCUACCAAGACUGUGAUCAAUAGCUGAUUUGAGAGGAUGAUCAGCCACACUGGGACUGAGACACGGCCCAGACUCCUACGGGAGGCAGCAGUGGGGAAUUUUCCGCAAUGGGCGAAAGCCUGACGGAGCAACGCCGCGUGAGGGAUGAAGGCCUCUGGGCUGUAAAGCUCUUUCGUCGGGGAAGAAAAUGACUGUACCCGAAUAAGAAGGUCCGGCUAACUUCG
This 432-nucleotide ribosomal RNA is filed under the name uncultured Candidatus Pelagibacter sp. RNAcentral's name for it is "bacterial SSU rRNA". It matches the Rfam family "Bacterial small subunit ribosomal RNA", at positions 29 to 505 of the family's 1533-position model. Lineage: Bacteria; Pseudomonadati; Pseudomonadota; Alphaproteobacteria; Candidatus Pelagibacterales; Candidatus Pelagibacteraceae. The record is from RNAcentral.